Long non-coding RNA from Felis catus (domestic cat), 2633 nucleotides. RefSeq lists it as uncharacterized. Lineage: Eukaryota; Metazoa; Chordata; Mammalia; Carnivora; Felidae. The record is from RefSeq and is a predicted model, not a curated record. The transcript is spliced from 5 exons.
CAUCAGAGUUGCUGAUUUAGCAGGGCCAGCGUAGGGCAGAGAAAUAUAUUUUUCACACUUGCUCCAAGUGAUUCGUAUAAAUAGGUCUGGGGAGUAGUUUGGAGAAUAGUAAGUUAGAGAAUAUUUAUUCAAGAAAUAUUCAUUGAGCAACUUCUAUCAUGCUGCAUGCUGACAAAACGCGGGGAUUAGAUCCUUCUGGCCUGCCGAAGCCCGCUGAGAACACAAAGGCACGCACGGAUAAACCCCAGAGGAGGGGGGCAGGCUCCCAUCAAGAUGAACAUUCCAGUGGAGAAGCCAGUGGCAGGCCCACCCAUCACCUGACAUCAUCCCUGUGAAUCAGGCACCAUCCUGUUGCCUGAGAAGCCACAAGUCUCAUUUGGCAAGAGUAUGGAUCCACAGCCGCAUUCAACUUUUCUAUAGUGUCUCUUGUGCCAAAGAUCCAAAGCUUCCUUGACGAAUUGUUUGAAGUGUGGCAUCCUCUCAGCCCCAAUCUUGCUCUGAAGCUCUGGGUACUGGAUAAUUAGAGACAAACCAAGAAUUUCUUAAAGAAGGAAUGAGACAAGCCAGCCAACGAGCCAAGAGAAAUUUCUGUUGUCACUUUCUUUCAGUGUGAUUUCCCCAGCAGCUGCUCUUUCCACAGCCUCAGCAGGAAGGUUGUGGCUGAGCAGAGAGCACAGCGGCCUCUGGGCCUGGGGCAGCAGCCAUGGUGUCCAGCUCUGAGUCUGCGGAGGCUUUUGUUCAAUUAUUGAUGUCUGGGGAAGGAAGCCUGGGCUGACUAUGCUGAGAUGGCUGCCGAGACCCAAAUGAAGCGGGGAAAGCUCCAGGAAGGGAGAAGAGGGGGCCUAGUGAGGUCAGUCCAUGUUUAUUGACGUGAAAACAUGUCCAGGAGAGAUUGAACUUUUAACUCUUGGAUCAGAAAGGCAUGCCCAGGACUGGUGUUCAUGUGAGCAGAGGAGGACAGUAUGAACUGAAAGACACCAAGCCUUGAGAAUUCCACUCUUCAUGCUUGCAAGCCUAGGAUUACCAGGUGAAUGAACUCAAGUAAGCUUUCUGGAGUGGCCAUGGGAAAGAGAACCACAGCUCCCCAGCUUGCCCUCCAACUGACUGCCAAGCCCUAGACGUAUAAUUGAGGCCAUCUUAGACAUCAAGCUCCAUCUAAUCCACGAGCUAACUACAAACUGCAUGAGUGAGCCCAGCUCUGUCUGCCGUACUUCACAGUAUGUAGCACGUUCUGCAUUUGGUUAUAAGUCUGAGUACUUGUUUUAUACUCUAUUUACAGAAAAAGGGUUCUAUUUAUCUUGGAGUCCCAUAUGGUACCUUAUAUGGUGAUUGGCACAUGGUAAACACUCAAUAAAUGUUUAUUGCAUUGAAAAAUUUUACUUGCCAAAUUAUACAAGCAAUGGUAGAGGAUGAAGAGCUCAUUUUCGCUGGGUGGUCAGGGGAGGAUCUGUAGAAAACUUGGAUUCAAACAAGUUUUUAAAAAUAGGAAGGAUUUGGAGAGACGGAGAAGAGAGAGAGGGAAUCCCAGGAAGACACGAAUAAAAACAGACUGGAACAUGCAUGACUAUUGAGGAGGCGGUCAGAAUCAAAUGGUCUGGCUGCAGCAGAAGACUGAUGGCAAGAUAGAAAUGUUUCUCCUGCUAUUAUAAAAGUGAUGUAAAGAGCUGGAGGGUCUACCCAUGGAACUGAUCCUGAGGUAGAUGGAAAGUUAGGAUGGGGUGCCAUUGACAAGGCACUGCUGACAGUGGAAGUGGGCCUGUGAUAUUCAAAGGUGAAUGUCAUCUAUCUGCUCUGUCUUUCGAGGUUUGUUUUCUUCCCCAUUAUUUUUCUUUUUAACUUUCGCAAAUUGGCAAUGAGAUGCAUCUGGUGGAAAUGAGUCUUUAAGUCAGUCUGUCCACGUUUUAAGAGUAAAAAUAGAUUCCCCCCACACUGCAUAGCCGUUAAACUCAUACCCCACCCAGAUAAGGCCUGGCUUGAAGCCAGAACUGGCAACACACAUUGAGGCCAUCGAAUAUAUAAAUUCCUUUCAGGGGUCUGGUUUAGGUAAAGCCAGGAGUGAAGCAGGGAAGGAAGAAGGGAUUAGUGAAGAGAUCAGCAUGAGGCAGGUUGUACAAGUAGGAGCUUCAGACUGAAGGAAUACUAUUGGGUAGAGGAGGUGGGCCCAGGAGACUGGAGAAGGCAGGAGAACAGGAAAGAGAGAUCGGCAUGGAGAAGCAGAAGCAUGUACCAUAUGACCGCAGGCACAUUUAUACAAGUAAGGUAGCAAGAAUCCCCAACCCGCAGAAAGGUCAUCUUCCAAAACAUGGUCAAAAAUGCUAAAACAGUAUCUGGUACAUCAUGUCUGGGCCAGAAAACUUAGUUCUACUCCCUUCUAACAUUUGCCAUUUUCUCUAAAACUGCCUUUCUUCAGAAAGUUAGAGUUUGCCAGCUCAAUCCAGUUCUCCACUGGACCUGAUUUGAGCAUUCUGGUCAUUUUAGGACUAGGAUAAAUGAGAAAAUACUUGAUUACACUAAUGAUGAACGCAAACAUGUUUUUCAGCACACUUUUUAUCAUUUCUGUUAUUAUAAGUCAGUUUUGCCAUCGGAAAGAUUUUUUCCCCCUGAAUUUCUGAAAAGCUUGGUGUGUAUCAUAG